UACAGAGGGUGCAAGCGUUGUUCGGAAUUAUUGGGCGUAAAGGGCGCGUAGGUGGCCCCUCAAGCGUGCGGUGAAAGUCAGGGGCUCAACCCCUGAUCGGCCGUGCGAACUGGGGAGCUUGAGCACUGUAGAGGCAGGCGGAAUUCCGGGUGUAGCGGUGGAAUGCGUAGAGAUCCGGAAGAACACCGGUGGCGAAGGCGGCCUGCUGGGCAGUUACUGACACUGAGGCGCGACAGCGUGGGGAGCAAACAGG
This 253-nucleotide ribosomal RNA is filed under the name uncultured bacterium. Its description in RNAcentral is "partial 16S ribosomal RNA". It matches the Rfam family "Bacterial small subunit ribosomal RNA", at positions 524 to 776 of the family's 1533-position model. The record is from RNAcentral.